GAUGAACGCUGGCGGCGUGCCUAAUACAUGCAAGUCGAGCGAACAGACGAGGAGCUUGCUCCUCUGAUGUUAGCGGCGGACGGGUGAGUAACACGUGGAUAACCUACCUAUAAGACUGGGAUAACUUCGGGAAACCGGAGCUAAUACCGGAUAACAUGUUGAACCGCAUGGUUCAACAGUGAAAGACGGUCUUUCUGUUACUUAUAGAUGGAUCCGCGCCGCAUUAGCUAGUUGGUAAGGUAACGGUUUACCAAGGCAACGGUGCGUAGCCGACCUGAGAGGGUGAUCGGCCACACUGGAACUGAGACACGUCCCAGACUCCUACGGGAGCCAGCAGUAGGGAAUCUUCCGCAAGGAGCGAAAGCCUGCCGGAGCAACGCCGCGUGAGUGAAGAAGGUCUUCGGAUCGUAAAACUCUGUUAUUAGGGAAGAACAAAUGUGUAAGUAACUAUGCACAUCUUGACGGUACCUAAUCAGAAAGCCACGGCUAACUACGUG
RNAcentral lists this ribosomal RNA (497 nucleotides) under uncultured bacterium. RNAcentral's name for it is "partial 16S ribosomal RNA". It matches the Rfam family "Bacterial small subunit ribosomal RNA", at positions 28 to 507 of the family's 1533-position model. The record is from RNAcentral.